Molecule: ribosomal RNA, 274 nt
Filed under: uncultured prokaryote
Description: partial 16S ribosomal RNA
Rfam family: Bacterial small subunit ribosomal RNA
Source: RNAcentral
UACGUAGGGGGCGAGCGUUAUCCGGAAUUAUUGGGCGUAAAGAGUACGUAGGCGGGAGCUUAAGCACAGGGUUUAAGGCAAUGGCUUAACCACUGUAUGCCUUGUGAACUGAGCUUCUUGAGUGCAGGAGGGGAAGGCGGAAUUCCUAGUGUAGCGGUGAAAUGCGUAGAUAUUAGGAGGAACACCAGUGGCGAAGGCGGCUUACUGGCCAGCAACUGACGCUGAGGCGCGAAAGCCAGGGGAGCAAACGGGAUUAGAUACCCGCGUAGUCCCU